This 204-nucleotide long non-coding RNA is filed under the name Elaeis guineensis (African oil palm). RNAcentral's name for it is "long non-coding RNA (EGUI_LNC050019)". The record is from RNAcentral. Lineage: Eukaryota; Viridiplantae; Streptophyta; Magnoliopsida; Arecales; Arecaceae.
CUGGAUAUGAGUACAUAUCGGUGGCAGUGGAUUAUGUUUCGAAGUGGAUAGAAAUCAUGGUAACACGAACCAAUGAUAUAAAGUGGUAAUAAAGUUUAUUCAAAAGAACAUUAUAAGUCGGUUCGAUUGCCCUAGAGCCAUAAUCAGUGAUGGAGGAACGCAUUUUACGAACAGGCAAUUUAAGGCUUUAAUGAGGAAAAAUGG